Schistosoma mansoni is the source of this 46-nucleotide non-coding RNA. Lineage: Eukaryota; Metazoa; Platyhelminthes; Trematoda; Strigeidida; Schistosomatidae. The record is from Rfam.
GCACUGCUGAGGAGUCCCAUAAUGGGACGAAACCGCCGUUCAGUGC